UUUUUUUCGGGAAUAAUAAAGAAAAGUUAAUUAAUAUAUUGAAAACAAAAUAAACAUUUGUAAUUUGUAAAAUUGUAAAUUUUACAACAUCACAAUAUUUAUUAAUGUUUAUACUUGCUUGUCAUAUUCAACACAGAAUUCUUCUAGGAAAGCAAUUUGCCCAGCUCUAAUGGAUGCAUUACUUGAACACGCACAUGCACGCAGAUCAUGUUACUGGAUCAGGGAAAUUAAAGUCUUUUUUACCAAGUUGUCUCUCAAUGAUAUCUCAUAUGAGUGGAGCUCAUGCGGAUAUUUUCUUAUCUCCAACGGAGGAAAUUAAGUUUGGAAGACAUCGGUUAGUGUGCUAUCCUACUCCUGGGCAUACACAAGGUUGUAUGACAUUUGUAUGUAAUGAACAAGGAAUCGUUUUCACUGGCGACACACUUUUAAUUCGAGGAUGUGGAAGAACUGAUUUUCAGGAAGGAUGUUCUGAAACGUUAUACAAUUCAGUGCACUCAGUAAUAUUCAAACUUCCAGGCAACUUUAAAGUUUAUCCUGCUCAUGAUUAUACUGGAAGAACAAUGACAACAGUUGCGGAAGAAAAAAAAUUUAACCCAAGAUUAACCAAAUCUCUUAAGGAAUUUAUGAAAAUUAUGGACAAUUUGAACUUACCGCCUCCGAAAAUGAUAGAAACAGCUGUCCCUGCUAAUAGACUGUGUGGCUUAUAUAACUUGGAAACAGAAAAGGAAUAAAAAAAAUUACAUGCAAUUUGUACAACCUUUUUUGAUCUGUUGGUUCUCGUAUUUAAAAAAAAUAUAACUCACAUUAAACAAAAAAGAGCAAAAACAGUUAAAUAUAAUGAGUUGAAAAACCAUUAAAAAUAUCAAGGAGUUGCUACAAGCAAACGAAAAAAAUUGGUACGUGAUAGAAACCCUUUCUGAGAGGAAUCACGUCGCGGCACAGUGGUCUGAAGGACUCGAAAAGCUGCCAAAAUUCAAAAUAUAAUGGGGAUUGGUUGGAACUGCUCACAAUAAGAUUCUUGAGUUCGCUGAGUCUACAUUUCUAGUAAAUAUAAUAAAAUAAAAAAUAGUAGAUAUAAUAUGGCGGAUAAAAGUGUUUAAAAUUCAAUUAUUGAACACAAACGUUCUUAGUAGGAAGGUUUUUGCAUUCGUAAAAUCUGAAACUGUUAUAAAAAAUAACAAUGAACAAUUAAUAGAAUUUGAGAAAUAGAAAAUUGUAAUAUUAAAGUUUUAAAAUGGAUUUUAAAUUUAAUAUUUUUAAACCUUUUUUUUAAAAAGUUACUAAGGUGUUCUUCUAUUAAAC
Leptopilina boulardi is the source of this 1302-nucleotide RNA transcript. It is a transcript of the gene named persulfide dioxygenase ETHE1, mitochondrial, with no coding region annotated. The record is from RefSeq and is a predicted model, not a curated record. The transcript is spliced from 6 exons. Lineage: Eukaryota; Metazoa; Arthropoda; Insecta; Hymenoptera; Figitidae.